Molecule: ribosomal RNA, 483 nt
Filed under: uncultured bacterium
Lineage: Bacteria
Description: partial 16S ribosomal RNA
Rfam family: Bacterial small subunit ribosomal RNA
Source: RNAcentral
AUUGAACGCUGGCGGCAGGCCUAACACAUGCGAGUCGAGCGGAUGAAGGGAGCUUGCUCCUGGAUUCAGCGGCGGACGGGUGAGUAAUGCCUAGGAAUCUGCCUGGUAGUGGGGGAUAACGUCCGGAAACGGGCGCUAAUACCGCAUACGUCCUGAGGGAGAAAGUGGGGGAUCUUCGGACCUCACGCUAUCAGAUGAGCCUAGGUCGGAUUAGCUAGUUGGUGGGGUAAAGGCCUACCAAGGCGACGAUCCGUAACUGGUCUGAGAGAUGAUCAGUCACACUGGAACUGAGACACGGUCCAGACUCCUACGGGAGGCAGCAGUGGGGAAUAUUGGACAAUGGGCGAAAGCCUGAUCCAGCCAUGCCGCGUGUGUGAAGAAGGUCUUCGGAUUGUAAAGCACUUUAAGUUGGGAGGAAGGGCAGUAAGUUAAUACCUUGCUGUUUUGACGUUACCAACAGAAUAAGCACCGGCUAACUUCGUG